Molecule: ribosomal RNA, 496 nt
Filed under: uncultured bacterium
Lineage: Bacteria
Description: partial 16S ribosomal RNA
Rfam family: Bacterial small subunit ribosomal RNA
Source: RNAcentral
AUGAACGCUGGCGGCGUGCCUAAUACAUGCAAGUCGAGCGAACGGACGAGAAGCUUGCUUUUCUGAUGUUAGCGGCGGACGGGUGAGUAACACGUGGAUAACCUACCUAUAAGACUGGGAUAACUUCGGGAAACCGGAGCUAAUACCGGAUAAUAUUUUGAACCGCAUGGUUCAAAAGUGAAAGACGGUCUUGCUGUCACUUAUAGCUGGAUCCGCGCUGCAUUAGCUAGUUGGUAAGGUAACGGCUUACCAAGGCGACGAUGCAUAGCCGACCUGAGAGGGUGAUCGGCCACACGGGAACUGAGACGCGGUCCAGACUCCUACGGGAGGCAGCAGUAGGGAAUCUUCCGCAAUGGGCGAAAGCCUGACGGAGCAACGCCGCGUGAGUGAUGAAGGUCUUCGGAUCGUAAAACUCUGUUAUUAGGGAAGAACAUAUGUGUAAGUAACUGUGCACAUCUUGACGGUACCUAAUCAGAAAGCCACGGCUAACUACGUG